RNAcentral lists this ribosomal RNA (278 nucleotides) under uncultured Bacteroidales bacterium. Its description in RNAcentral is "partial 16S ribosomal RNA". It matches the Rfam family "Bacterial small subunit ribosomal RNA", at positions 511 to 788 of the family's 1533-position model. The record is from RNAcentral. Lineage: Bacteria; Pseudomonadati; Bacteroidota; Bacteroidia; Bacteroidales.
GCAGCCGCGGUAAUACGUAGGUGGCAAGCGUUGUCCGGAUUUACUGGGUGUAAAGGGCGUGUAGGCGGGCACGCAAGUUGGGUGUGAAAUACCGGGGCUCAACCCCGGAGCUGCAUCCAAAACUGCGAGUCUUGAGUGCUGGAGAGGAAAGCGGAAUUCCUAGUGUAGCGGUGAAAUGCGUAGAUAUUAGGAGGAACACCGGUGGCGAAGGCGGCUUUCUGGACAGUAACUGACGCUGAGGCGCGAAAGCGUGGGGAGCAAACAGGAUUAGAUACCCC